CUUUUGUGGUUGAGUGUAAAUGAAAACUCAUAAAUUGCGUGCAGUCCAUCACCUCCUAUCUUGCAUAUUUCACUAAGAUUGGAGUUAAAUAUCAGCACUACAUGU
Molecule: non-coding RNA, 105 nt
Organism: Solanum lycopersicum (tomato)
Lineage: Eukaryota; Viridiplantae; Streptophyta; Magnoliopsida; Solanales; Solanaceae
Source: Rfam